RNAcentral lists this ribosomal RNA (1264 nucleotides) under Salmonella enterica. RNAcentral's name for it is "partial 23S ribosomal RNA". It matches the Rfam family "Bacterial large subunit ribosomal RNA", at positions 979 to 2141 of the family's 2925-position model. Lineage: Bacteria; Pseudomonadati; Pseudomonadota; Gammaproteobacteria; Enterobacterales; Enterobacteriaceae. The record is from RNAcentral.
GGGAGACACACGGCGGGUGCUAACGUCCGUCGUGAAGAGGGAAACAACCCAGACCGCCAGCUAAGGUCCCAAAGUCAUGGUUAAGUGGGAAACGAUGUGGGAAGGCCCAGACAGCCAGGAUGUUGGCUUAGAAGCAGCCAUCAUUUAAAGAAAGCGUAAUAGCUCACUGGUCGAGUCGGCCUGCGCGGAAGAUGUAACGGGGCUAAACCAUGCACCGAAGCUGCGGCAGCGAACGUAUCACCCAAGACAACUUUGCGGAGUUGACGAUUGACGGAGCGAAGCGACGUCAAAGCGUUCAUUAAAGUCGAGUUGGCUUAGGGAUACGUUCGUUGGGUAGGGGAGCGUUCUGUAAGCCAGUGAAGGUGUGUCGUGAGGCAUGCUGGAGGUAUCAGAAGUGCGAAUGCUGACAUAAGUAACGAUAAAGCGGGUGAAAAGCCCGCUCGCCGGAAGACCAAGGGUUCCUGUCCAACGUUAAUCGGGGCAGGGUGAGUCGACCCCUAAGGCGAGGCCGAAAGGCGUAGUCGAUGGGAAACGGGUUAAUAUUCCCGUACUUGGUGUUACUGCGAAGGGGGGACGGAGAAGGCUAUGUUGGCCGGGCGACGGUUGUCCCGGUUUAAGCGUGUAGGUGUGUGUUCCAGGUAAAUCCGGUUCACUUUAACACUGAGGCGUGACGACGAGGCACUACGGUGCUGAAGCAACAAAUGCCCUGCUUCCAGGAAAAGCCUCUAAGCAUCAGGUAACAUCAAAUCGUACCCCAAACCGACACAGGUGGUCAGGUAGAGAAUACCAAGGCGCUUGAGAGAACUCGGGUGAAGGAACUAGGCAAAAUGGUGCCGUAACUUCGGGAGAAGGCACGCUGACACGUAGGUGAAGUGAUUUACUCAUGGAGCUGAAGUCAGUCGAAGAUACCAGCUGGCUGCAACUGUUUAUUAAAAACACAGCACUGUGCAAACACGAAAGUGGACGUAUACGGUGUGACGCCUGCCCGGUGCCGGAAGGUUAAUUGAUGGGGUCAGCGCAAGCGAAGCUCCUGAUCGAAGCCCCGGUAAACGGCGGCCGUAACUAUAACGGUCCUAAGGUAGCGAAAUUCCUUGUCGGGUAAGUUCCGACCUGCACGAAUGGCGUAAUGAUGGCCAGGCUGUCUCCACCCGAGACUCAGUGAAAUUGAACUCGCUGUGAAGAUGCAGUGUACCCGCGGCAAGACGGAAAGACCCCGUGAACCUUUACUAUAGCUUGACACUGAACAUUGAGCCUUGAUGUGUAG